This 414-nucleotide ribosomal RNA is filed under the name uncultured bacterium. Its description in RNAcentral is "bacterial SSU rRNA". It matches the Rfam family "Bacterial small subunit ribosomal RNA", at positions 355 to 788 of the family's 1533-position model. The record is from RNAcentral.
UGGGAAGUAUUGCACAAUGGGGAACCCGUGAUGCAGCGACGCCGCGUGGAGGAAGAAGGUCUUCGGAUUGUAAACUCCUGUUGUUGAGGAAGAUAAUGACGGUACUCAACAAGGAAGUGACGGCUAACUACGUGCCAGCAGCCGCGGUAAACGUAGGUCACAAGCGUUGUCCGGAAUUACUGGGUGUAAAGGGAGCGCAGGCGGGAGAACAAGUUGGAAGUGAAAUCCAUGGGCUCAACCCAUGAACUGCUUUCAAAACUGUUUUCUUGAGUAGUGCAGAGGUAGGCGGAAUUCCCGGUGUAGCGGUGGAAUGCGUAGAUAUCGGGAGGAACACCAGUGGCGAAGGCGGCCUACUGGGCACCAACUGACGCUGAGGCUCGAAAGUGUGGGUAGCAAAACAGGAUUAGAUACCCU